Molecule: small nuclear RNA, 237 nt
Filed under: Blumeria hordei DH14
Lineage: Eukaryota; Fungi; Ascomycota; Leotiomycetes; Helotiales; Erysiphaceae
Description: Blumeria graminis f. sp. hordei DH14 U2 spliceosomal RNA
Rfam family: U2 spliceosomal RNA
About the family: U2 is a small nuclear RNA (snRNA) component of the spliceosome (involved in pre-mRNA splicing).
Source: Rfam by way of RNAcentral
UGUGCAGCUUUGCCUAUUGGCUUAGAUCAAGUGUAGUAUCUGGUAACUACUUUCUUCUUUGUCAACGAAACCUAACUAAUUCCUUCAGUUCUUUUCAGUUUAAUCUCUGAAAGUCCUCUACGGAGGACACAUUGAUUAUACUUAUUUUUGUAGACUGCUUCAGGACCUCUGAGCUUGCUCAUGUUCUUUAGCAUUGUGUCAUCGGUAUUACACUGCUUCCGAUUGACGCGAACUUUC